RNAcentral lists this ribosomal RNA (464 nucleotides) under uncultured bacterium. RNAcentral describes it as "partial 16S ribosomal RNA". It matches the Rfam family "Bacterial small subunit ribosomal RNA", at positions 339 to 795 of the family's 1533-position model. The record is from RNAcentral.
CUACGGGGGGCUCCAGUGGGGAAUUUUGGACAAUGGGCGAAAGCCUGAUCCAGCCAUGCCGCGUGUCUGAAGAAGGCCUUCGGGUUGUAAAGGACUUUUGUCGGGGAGGAAAUCCCCAGCGUUAAUACCGCUGGGGGAUGACAGUACCUGAAGAAUAAGCACCGGCUAAUUACGUGCCAGCAGCCGCGGUAAUACGUAGGGUGCAAGCGUUAAUCGGAAUUACUGGGCGUAAAGCGUGCGCAGGCGGUUUGAUAAGCCAGAUGUGAAAUCCCCGAGCUCAACUUGGGAACUGCGUUUUGAACUGUCAGACUAGAGUGCGUCAGAGGGGGGUGGAAUUCCGCGUGUAGCAGUGAAAUGCGUAGAGAUGCGGAGGAACACCGAUGGCGAAGGCAGCCCCCUGGGAUGACACUGACGCUCAUGCACGAAAGCGUGGGGAGCAAACAGGAUUAGAUACCCCGGUAGUC